CGAAGAUACCAAUUCACGACUCGUGCUAAGUAGUAACACGAUGUAUAGAGUCUGACACAUGCUCGAUGCUGGAAAAUCGAAAGGAGAAGUGUUAUAAGCUUUGAAUGGAAGCCCCGAUACACAGCGGCAAUAACUCUAACUGUCCUAAGGGAGCGAAAUUCCUUGUCGCAGAAGUAGUGACCUGUACAAAUGGUGUAACGA
RNAcentral lists this non-coding RNA (201 nucleotides) under Nicotiana sylvestris (wood tobacco). RNAcentral describes it as "Bacterial large subunit ribosomal RNA". It matches the Rfam family "Bacterial large subunit ribosomal RNA", at positions 1797 to 2007 of the family's 2925-position model. Lineage: Eukaryota; Viridiplantae; Streptophyta; Magnoliopsida; Solanales; Solanaceae. The record is from Rfam by way of RNAcentral.